AUGGCUCAGGAUGAACGCUAGCGGCAGGCUAACACAUGCAAGUCGAGGGGCAACGCGAGUAGCAAUACUUGGCGGCGACCGGCGCAAGGGUGCGUAACGCGUGAGCAACAUGCCCGUAUCAGGGGGAUAAUCCAGGGAAACUUGGUCUAAUACCCCAUAGUAAUUUUGUAAGGCAUCUUAUAAGAUUUAAAGCUUUGGUGGAUACGGAUUGGCUCGCGUGACAUUAGCUGGAUGGUAAGGUAACGGCUUACCAUGGCUAUGAUGUCUAGGGGUUCUGAGAGGGAGGUCCCCCACACUGGAACUGAGACACGGUCCAGACUCCUACGGGAGGCAGCAGUGAGGAAUAUUGGACAAUGGAUGGAAAUCGGAUCCAGCCAUGCCGCGUGAAGGAAGAAGGUCCUAUGGAUUGUAAACUUCUUUUGUAUGGGAGCAAUAAGGCCUACGAGUAGGUUGAUGAGAGUACCAUACGAAUAAGCACCGGCUAACUCCGUGCCAGCAGCCGC
Molecule: ribosomal RNA, 503 nt
Filed under: uncultured bacterium
Lineage: Bacteria
Description: bacterial SSU rRNA
Rfam family: Bacterial small subunit ribosomal RNA
Source: RNAcentral